RNAcentral lists this ribosomal RNA (506 nucleotides) under uncultured bacterium. Its description in RNAcentral is "partial 16S ribosomal RNA". It matches the Rfam family "Bacterial small subunit ribosomal RNA", at positions 29 to 523 of the family's 1533-position model. The record is from RNAcentral.
AGUGAACGCUGGCGGUAGGCCUAACACAUGCAAGUCGAACGGCAGCACAGGAGAGCUUGCUCUCUGGGUGGCGAGUGGCGGACGGGUGAGGAAUACAUCGGAAUCUACUUUUUCGUGGGGGAUAACGUAGGGAAACUUACGCUAAUCCUGCAUACGACCUACGGGUGAAAGCAGGGGAUCUUCGGACCUUGCGCGAUUGAAUGAGCCGAUGUCGGAUUAGCUAGUUGGCGGGGUAAAGGCCCACCAAGGCGACGAUCCGUAGCUGGUCUGAGAGGAUGAUCAGCCACACUGGAACUGAGACACGGUCCAGACUCCUACGGGAGGCAGCAGUGGGGAAUAUUGGACAAUGGGCGCAAGCCUGAUCCAGCCAUACCGCGUGGGUGAAGAAGGCCUUCGGGUUGUAAAGCCCUAUUGUUGGGAAAGAAAUCCAGCUGGUUAAUACCCGGUUGGGAUGACGGUACCCAAAGAAUAAGCACCGGCUAACUUCGUGCCAGCAGCCGCCGCGG